GUGGGGAAUAUUGGACAAUGGGCGAAAGCCUGAUCCAGCCAUGCCGCGUGUGUGAAGAAGGUCUUCGGAUUGUAAAGCACUUUAAGUUGGGAGGAAGGGCAGUAAGUUAAUACCUUGCUGUUUUGACGUUACCGACAGAAUAAGCACCGGCUAACUUCGUGCCAGCAGCCGCGGUAAUACGAAGGGUGCAAGCGUUAAUCGGAAUUACUGGGCGUAAAGCGCGCGUAGGUGGUUUUGUAAGUUGGAGGUGAAAUCCCCGGGCUCAACCUGGGAACUGCCUCCAAAAAUGCAUGACUAGAGUACGGUAGAGGGUAGUGGAAUUUCCUGUGUAGCGGUGAAAUGCGUAGAUAUAGGAAGGAACACCAGUGGCGAAGGCGACUACCUGGACUGAUACUGACACUGAGGUGCGAAAGCGUGGGGAGCAAACAGGAUUAGAAACCCCAGUAGUCC
This 450-nucleotide ribosomal RNA is filed under the name uncultured bacterium. RNAcentral's name for it is "partial 16S ribosomal RNA". It matches the Rfam family "Bacterial small subunit ribosomal RNA", at positions 354 to 796 of the family's 1533-position model. The record is from RNAcentral.